AGAGUUUGAUCCUGGCUCAGGAUGAACGCUGGCGGCGUGCCUAAUACAUGCAAGUCGAGCGAACGGACGAGAAGCUUGCUUCUCUGAUGUUAGCGGCGGACGGGUGAGUAACACGUGGAUAACCUACCUAUAAGACUGGGAUAACUUCGGGAAACCGGAGCUAAUACCGGAUAAUAUUUUGAACCGCAUGGUUCAAAAGUGAAAGACGGUCUUGCUGUCACUUAUAGAUGGAUCCGCGCUGCAUUAGCUAGUUGGUAAGGUAACGGCUUACCAAGGCAACGAUGCAUAGCCGACCUGAGAGGGUGAUCGGCCACACUGGAACUGAGACACGGUCCAGACUCCUACGGGAGGCAGCAGUAGGGAAUCUUCCGCAAUGGGCGAAAGCCUGACGGAGCAACGCCGCGUGAGUGAUGAAGGUCUUCGGAUCGUAAAACUCUGUUAUUAGGGAAGAAGAUAUGUGUAAGUAACUGUGCACAUCUUGACGGUACCUAAUCAGAAAGCCACGGCUAACUACGUGCCAGCAGCCGCGGUAAUACGUAGGUGGCAAGCGUUAUCCGGAAUUAUUGGGCGUAAAGCGCGCGUAGGCGGUUUUUUAAGUCUGAUGUGAAAGCCCACGGCUCAACCGUGGAGGGUCAUUGGAAACUGGAAAACUUGAGUGCAGAAGAGGAAAGUGGAAUUCCAUGUGUAGCGGUGAAAUGCGCAGAGAUAUGGAGGAACACCAGUGGCGAAGGCGACUUUCUGGUCUGUAACUGACGCUGAUGUGCGAAAGCGUGGGGAUCAAACAGGAUUAGAUACCCUGGUAGUCCACGCCGUAAACGAUGAGUGCUAAGUGUUAGGGGGGUUUCCGCCCCUUAGUGCUGCAGCUAACGCAUUAAGCACUCCGCCUGGGGAGUACGACCGCAAGGUUGAAACUCAAAGGAAUUGACGGGGACCCGCACAAGCGGUGGAGCAUGUGGUUUAAUUCGAAGCAACGCGAAGAACCUUACCAAAUCUUGACAUCCUUUGACAACUCUAGAGAUAGAGCCUUCCCCUUCGGGGGACAAAGUGACAGGUGGUGCAUGGUUGUCGUCAGCUCGUGUCGUGAGAUGUUGGGUUAAGUCCCGCAACGAGCGCAACCCUUAAGCUUAGUUGCCAUCAUUAAGUUGGGCACUCUAAGUUGACUGCCGGUGACAAACCGGAGGAAGGUGGGGAUGACGUCAAAUCAUCAUGCCCCUUAUGAUUUGGGCUACACACGUGCUACAAUGGACAAUACAAAGGGCAGCGAAACCGCGAGGUCAAGCAAAUCCCAUAAAGUUGUUCUCAGUUCGGAUUGUAGUCUGCAACUCGACUACAUGAAGCUGGAAUCGCUAGUAAUCGUAGAUCAGCAUGCUACGGUGAAUACGUUCCCGGGUCUUGUACACACCGCCCGUCACACCACGAGAGUUUGUAACACCCGAAGCCGGUGGAGUAACCUUUUAGGAGCUAGCCGUCGAAGGUGGGACAAAUGAUUGGGGUGAAGUCGUAACAAGGUAGCCGUAUCGGAAGGUGCGGCUGGAUCACCU
This 1541-nucleotide ribosomal RNA is filed under the name Staphylococcus aureus. RNAcentral's name for it is "16S ribosomal RNA". It matches the Rfam family "Bacterial small subunit ribosomal RNA". The record is from RNAcentral. Lineage: Bacteria; Bacillati; Bacillota; Bacilli; Caryophanales; Staphylococcaceae.